CUGAAAAUCUAGCCUCACCUGACUUAUGAUCAACCCCCACCUUUUCAAGCAAAUCAAAAUAUUUUCAAAAUUUAGUAAAGAAGAUUGAAAAAUUUCACAGAGCAACAAUUAUGUACCGCAAGGGAAAGAUGAAAUACCAAUGAAACAAAAUCAAGCAUAAAAUAGUAGAGCCUAACCCUCGUACCUUUUGCAUCAUGGUUUAACAAGUUCACCCAAGCAAAAAGACUUUAAGUUUGCCCCCCCGAAACUAAGUGAGCUACCCUGAGACAGCCUCCGAGCCAACCCGUCCCUGUUUGCAAAAGGGUGGGAAGAUCUCACAGUAGCGGUGACAUACCUAACGAACUUAGUGAUAGCUGGUUGCUCAAGAAAAGAAUCUCAGUUCCACCUAAAGCAUAAACCACUAAUCAAAAAUAAAUUUUUUUAAACUUUAGAGCAACUCAAACAGGGUACAGCCUGUUUGAGCCAGGAUACAACCUCCACUGAUGGGUAACAAUUAGAGUCCCCCAGCCAAGUGGGCCUAAGAGCAGCCACCUUUCAAAAUGCGUCAAAACUUAACUACCUUGACAGAUUAUAUCCAAAAUUUCACCAAACCCUCUAUUAGUACUGAGCACUUCUAUAACCUAUAGAAGAUCUUAUGUUAAAACUAGUAACAAGAAGACACAACUCUUCUCUUUUAUACAAACAUAAAUCAGCCCGGAUAAUCCACUGGAAAUUAACAACCACCACUAAUGGCAACCUCGCAAGAAAAUCCCAUUAGCCCUACUGUUAACCUGACACUAGAGUAUAACAAGAAAGAUUAAAAGAAGGGGAAGGAACUCGGCAAAUAAUAAUCCCGCCUGUUUACCAAAAACAUCGCCUCUUGCUAAACUAUAAGAGGUCUAGCCUGCCCAGUGACCCACGUUCAACGGCCGCGGUAUCCUAACCACGCGAAGGUAGCGUAAUCAAUUGUCUCCUAAAUAGGGACUUGUAUGAAUGGCACCACGAGGAUUUAACUGUCUCCCCCCUCUAAUCUGUGAAACUAAUCUCCCUGUGAAAAAGCAGGACUACUCCCAUAAGACGAGAAGACCCUGUGGAACUUUAAACAACUAACAACUGCUCCCCAUUAACCCUCCAGAACACCCACUUCCACGAGCAUUCUGAUUACUAGUUUUCGGUUGGGGCGACCAUGGAGAAAAACCCACCCUCUAUGUUGUGAACCUUAAAUUCAAAACCACAAGCUACAGCUUUACGAAUCAGUAAACUGACAUCCAUUGACCCAAAUUUUUGAUCAACGAACCAAGCUACCCCAGGGAUAACAGCGCAAUCCGCCUCGAGAGCACAUAUCGACAGGUGGGCUUACGACCUCGAUGUUGGAUCAGGGUGCCCCAGUGGUGCAGCCGCUACUAAAGGUUCGUUUGUUCAACGAUUAAAACCCUACGUGAUCUGAGUUCAGACCGGAGUAAUCCAGGUCGGUUUCUAUCUAUAAAGGGCUCCAUCCAGUACGAAAGGACCGAAAGAGCAAGGCCAAUGAAAAACUCAAGCCUCACUAAACACUUAUGACUCACACUCA
Molecule: ribosomal RNA, 1549 nt
Filed under: Craugastor sandersoni (Sanderson's streamfrog)
Lineage: Eukaryota; Metazoa; Chordata; Amphibia; Anura; Craugastoridae
Description: partial 16S ribosomal RNA
Rfam family: Bacterial large subunit ribosomal RNA
Source: RNAcentral